CCAAUAGCGUAUAUUAAAGUUGUUGCAGUUAAAAAGCUCGUAGUUGAAUUUUGGGUUUGGCCGAUUGGUCCGUUCUUGUAGCGAGUACUGGUCGGUUGGGCCUCACUGCUUGGGGAAGAGUAAUGUCCUUUAUUGGGUGUUGCUCGUAGCCAAGACCUUUACCUUGAAAAAAUUAGAGUGUUUAAAGCAGGCUUAUGCCGGAAUACAUUAGCAUGGAAUAAUAGAAUAGGACAAUGAUUCUAUUUUGUUGGUUUCUAGGACCGUUGUAAUGAUUAAUAGGGAUAGUUGGGGGCAUUAGUAUUCAAUUGUCAGAGGUGAAAUUCUUGGAUUUAUUGAAGACUAACUACUGCGAAAGCAUUUGCCAAGGAUGUUUUCAUUAAUCAAGAACGAAAGUUAGGGAUCGAAGACGAUCAGAUACCGUCGUAGUCUUAACCAUAAACUAUGCCGACUAGGGAUCGGGCGAUGUUAUUUAAAUGACUCGCUCGGCACCUUAUG
This 495-nucleotide unclassified non-coding RNA is filed under the name uncultured Archaeospora. RNAcentral describes it as "SSU rRNA". It matches the Rfam family "Eukaryotic small subunit ribosomal RNA", at positions 591 to 1092 of the family's 1831-position model. The record is from RNAcentral. Lineage: Eukaryota; Fungi; Glomeromycota; Glomeromycetes; Archaeosporales; Archaeosporaceae.